UGACACUUUUGAACAAAUACAUGAAAAAUGACUGUGAACAUGAAGAAUGCAGUAUGUAGGAACACAAUUUUUAAUGUUAAAUAUAUAGGAGUUAACUUGACGGUUUCUUGACAUUUUUGUUGAGGAAGACAAAGACAAUGAAAAAUAUAAUAUGCGUGUUAUUGUAAAGUAUGUGGAUUUAAUGUCUUAAAAUAAAAAUGCCUUAAAAUCUUUCAAUUUGCAGCAAAUAAGAUCGUUUGUUUAUUGCCUUGAGAGAGUAUCCUAAGACGUUGAUUUUAAUAAACUUUAAACUUUUAUAAACUGGCAUCCCUUUUAUAUGUACAAUUAUGUAUAUCUAGUAAUAAAUAAACGUAAAUGUUGUUGUGUAAGGAACUAUAGACUGACAGCAACCGAUUCUGAAAAGAAAAAAAAAAACACCCAAUCGUUGCUCCUCUAUGAUAAGCGAUGCUUAUGUUAAGUAUCGCGAUACUUGAGGAGUCGCCAUUUUAGUUCCUCUCAGUGUCGUCGUAAGCGCAUGGCUUGACUACAACGUCUGAGCUUAAAUAUAUUUUCUUUUCUGUCCUGUUCAUUUAGUUUUCUUCAUCCAAUCGACGUCAGAAGACAUCAGCAUUCGAUUUAAGGUGGUGUUUGCUAAGUACGGAAGAAUGUGGAUCGAUUUCUCCCCAUUUUUUCGUCAAUUUACAUCCUCACUUCUAAUCGAACAUUUCUCAGUGUUUCCACAAUAUACAGAAACACAGCCAUGAUCACCAGAAAAAGAGGAAGAAGCAGCCUAAACGCUGACAUCACAUGUACAAGUACCUCCCACGAGAUUGAUGGUGUUUCGAAAAUCAGUAAUACAAGUGAAACGGACAUGCAAACUUCCCCAGAAAGUGACACCAAUGAUUGGGGCCUGGAUGAUCUGCUUGGCUCCGGGUUCAACUGGGAGCUGGACAAUGAAGUGCUUGAUGCUUUCGUCAACUUUGAAUCACAGACAGCGACCAGCGAUGAGACAGACCAAAGCGCAGUACUUGACGUUGCCCCAUCCCGCAGUAGAGGUGCAGUCCAGAGGUCAAAACUUCAAGACUGCUCCAGUCGGAUCAUCAACAAGAAUGCCAUUGCUGCGAGGAUGAACCGUUUAAAGAAGAAAGAAUACGUCAGUGGCCUGGAACAGAGAGUUGGUUCUUUGACAACAGAAAAUCGUGUUCUCAAGCAGGAAAACGGCAAUCUCAACAAGAGAGUGGAAGAGUUGGAGAAUGAAACUAGGAAUCCAACGAGAACGACCACGAUUAUGCCAUGCCGAGGAAGAGGGUGA
This 1291-nucleotide long non-coding RNA is filed under the name Sinocyclocheilus anshuiensis. Its description in RNAcentral is "lncRNA (ENSSANG00000044896.1)". Lineage: Eukaryota; Metazoa; Chordata; Actinopteri; Cypriniformes; Cyprinidae. The record is from RNAcentral.